CCUUACCUACUCUUGACAUCCAUGGAAUCUUGUAGAGAUACGAGAGUGCCUUCGGGAACCAUGAGACAGGUGCUGCAUGGCUGUCGUCAGCUCGUGUUGUGAAAUGUUGGGUUAAGUCCCGCAACGAGCGCAANCCUUAUCCUUUGUUGCCAGCGGUUCGGCCGGGAACUCAAAGGAGACUGCCAGUGAUAAACUGGAGGAAGGNGGGGAUGNCGUCAAGUCAUCAUGGCCCUUACGAGUAGGGCUACACACGUGCUACAAUGGCGUAUACAGAGGGAAGCAAUAUGGCGACAUGGAGCAAAUCUCACAAAGUACGUCUAAGUCCGGAUUGGAGUCUGCAACUCGACUCCAUGAAGUCGGAAUCGCUAGUAAUCGCAAAUCAGAAUGUUGCGGUGAAUACGUUCCCGGGCCUUGUACACAC
RNAcentral lists this ribosomal RNA (421 nucleotides) under Actinobacillus equuli. Its description in RNAcentral is "bacterial SSU rRNA". It matches the Rfam family "Bacterial small subunit ribosomal RNA", at positions 969 to 1390 of the family's 1533-position model. The record is from RNAcentral. Lineage: Bacteria; Pseudomonadati; Pseudomonadota; Gammaproteobacteria; Pasteurellales; Pasteurellaceae.